RNAcentral lists this ribosomal RNA (432 nucleotides) under uncultured bacterium. RNAcentral describes it as "partial 16S ribosomal RNA". It matches the Rfam family "Bacterial small subunit ribosomal RNA", at positions 29 to 507 of the family's 1533-position model. The record is from RNAcentral.
ACGAACGCUGGCGGCAGGCUUAACACAUGCAAGUCGAACGCACCUUUCGGGGUGAGUGGCAGACGGGUGAGUAGCGCGUGGGAAUCUACCCUUCUCUACGGGAUAGCUCCGGGAAACUGGAAUUAAUACCGUAUACGUCCUGAGGGAGAAAGAUUUAUCGGGGAAGGAUGAGCCCGCGUUGGAUUAGCUAGUUGGUGGGGUAAAGGCCUACCAAGGCGACGAUCCAUAGCUGGUCUAAGAGGAUGAUCAGCCACAUUGGGACUGAGACACGGCCCAAACUCCUACGGGAGGCAGCAGUGGGGAAUAUUGGACAAUGGGCGCAAGCCUGAUCCAGCCAUGCCGCGUGAGUGAUGAAGGCCCUAGGGUUGUAAAGCUCUUUCAGUGGGGACGAUAAUGACGGUACCCACAGAAGAAGCCCCGGCUAACUUCGUG